CGGCACCGGCGAGACAGACGAAAAGGCUCCCGUCGCCAUCCGGCGACGGGAGCCUUUUCGUCGUCGGCCUCGACGAUCCGC
Molecule: microRNA precursor, 81 nt
Filed under: Methylorubrum rhodinum
Lineage: Bacteria; Pseudomonadati; Pseudomonadota; Alphaproteobacteria; Hyphomicrobiales; Methylobacteriaceae
Description: microRNA MIR1846
Source: RNAcentral